This 445-nucleotide ribosomal RNA is filed under the name uncultured bacterium. Its description in RNAcentral is "bacterial SSU rRNA". It matches the Rfam family "Bacterial small subunit ribosomal RNA", at positions 354 to 796 of the family's 1533-position model. The record is from RNAcentral.
GUGAGGAAUAUUGGUCAAUGGACGAGAGUCUGAACCAGCCAAGUAGCGUGAAGGAUGACUGCCCUAUGGGUUGUAAACUUCUUUUAUAUGGGAAUAAAGUGAGCCACGUGUGGCUUUUUGUAUGUACCAUACGAAUAAGGAUCGGCUAACUCCGUGCCAGCAGCCGCGGUAAUACGGAGGAUCCGAGCGUUAUCCGGAUUUAUUGGGUUUAAAGGGAGCGUAGGCGGAUUAUUAAGUCAGUUGUGAAAGUUUGCGGCUCAACCGUAAAAUUGCAGUUGAUACUGGUAGUCUUGAGUGCAGCAGAGGUAGGCGGAAUUCGUGGUGUAGCGGUGAAAUGCUUAGAUAUCACGAAGAACUCCGAUUGCGAAGGCAGCUUACUGGACUGUAACUGACGCUGAUGCUCGAAAGUGUGGGUAUCAAACAGGAUUAGAAACCCUAGUAGUCC